RNAcentral lists this unclassified non-coding RNA (171 nucleotides) under uncultured Lecanoromycetes. RNAcentral's name for it is "sequence contains ITS1". The record is from RNAcentral. Lineage: Eukaryota; Fungi; Ascomycota; Lecanoromycetes.
UAGAGCCCUGCCCUCACGGGUAGACCUCCAACCCUUUGUAUAUCAUGCCUCUGUUGCUUCGGCAGGCCGCCUGUGGUCUCGGCCUAGCUAUGGGCGCCAGCUCAUAAGUGCCUGCCAGAAGACCAGUAAACUCUGAAUUUUCAUGUCGUCUGAGUAAAAUUUAAUAAGUUA